Non-coding RNA from Coccomyxa sp. Obi, 72 nucleotides. The record is from the annotation of a GenBank genome assembly. NCBI's taxonomy places the organism in Eukaryota, Viridiplantae, Chlorophyta, Trebouxiophyceae, Coccomyxaceae.
GGGAACAUGGUCUAGUGGUAUGAUACUCGCUUUGGGUGCGAGUGGUCGGGGGUUCGAUUCCCCCUGUUCCCC